AUGCAGAGCAGAGCUGGGCAGCACAGACCUGGGAGCCAGCAAGUCCACACAGUCUGGCAUUUACAAGUGAAACAGCUCAGAGGCUGAGAAUGGUGUGGAGGAGAAAAAGAAAGCCUGCAGGUCGCCAACAGCCCAAUCCCCUACCCCAUCUGUGGAGGCCGAGUCCCCAGACCAGAAGAAAAUCAUUAGCCUACGGUCAAAAUCCAGUUUUGAUGGUGCCUCUUUAGCAAGUGAUAAGAACGACUGUAAAACAGAAAGCAAAAAUGACCCUAAGACUGAAAGAAAAAAGUCUUCAUCUUCCAGCCAGUACAAGGCCAAUAUGCACUUUCACAAGUUGUUUCUUAGUGUCCCAACGGAGGAACCACUGAAGCAAAGCUUUACCUGUGCUCUACAGAAAGAAAUACUAUACCAAGGAAAGCUCUUUGUAUCAGAAAACUGGAUUUGUUUUCAUUCCAAAGUCUUUGGAAAAGACACAAAGAUCUCUAUUCCAGCUUUCUCGGUAACCCUAAUAAAGAAAACCAAAACUGCUCUUCUAGUGCCAAAUGCCCUGAUCAUAGCAACAGUCACAGA
This 570-nucleotide small RNA is filed under the name Pongo abelii (Sumatran orangutan). Its description in RNAcentral is "processed transcript". The record is from RNAcentral. Lineage: Eukaryota; Metazoa; Chordata; Mammalia; Primates; Hominidae.